This 508-nucleotide ribosomal RNA is filed under the name uncultured bacterium. RNAcentral describes it as "partial 16S ribosomal RNA". It matches the Rfam family "Bacterial small subunit ribosomal RNA", at positions 28 to 507 of the family's 1533-position model. The record is from RNAcentral.
GACGAACGCUGGCGGCGUGCCUAACACAUGCAAGUCGAACGGGCCUUGUCCCCUUUUUUUUUGGGGGUGGGGUUAGUGGCGAACGGGUGAGUAACACGUGAGUAACCUGCCCCUCACUUCUGGAUAACCGCUUGAAAGGGUGGCUAAUACGGGGUGUUCUGGCCUGCUCGCAUGGGUGGGUUUGGAAAGAUUCGACCGGUUUUGGUUGUUUUGGUGGGGGAUGGGCUCGCGGCCUAUCAGCUUGUUGGUGGGGUGAUGGCCUGCCAAGGCUUUGACGGGUAGCCGGCCUGAGAGGGUGGGCGGUCACACUGGGACUGAGACACGGCCCAGACUCCUACGGGAGGCAGCAGUGGGGAAUAUUGCACAAUGGGCGCAAGCCUGAUGCAGCGACGCCGCGUGAGGGAUGGAGGCCGUCGGGUUGUGAACCUCUUUCGCCAGUGAAGAAGGUCCUGCUCUUUGUGGUGGGGUUGACGGUAGCUGGGUUAAUGAAGCGCCGGCUAACUACGUG